UACGUAGGGUGCAGGCGUUAAUCGGAAUUACUGGGCGUAAAGCGUGCGCAGGCGGUGUGCUAAGACAGGUGUGAAAUCCCCGGGCUUAACCUGGGAACUGCAUUUGUGACUGCAAGACUAGAGUACGGCAGAGGGGGGUAGAAUUCCACGUGUAGCAGUGAAAUGCGUAGAUAUGUGGAGGAAUACCGAUGGCGAGGGCAGCCCCCUGGGUCGAUACUGACGCUCAUGCACGAAAGCGUGGGGAGCAAACAGG
RNAcentral lists this ribosomal RNA (253 nucleotides) under uncultured bacterium. RNAcentral describes it as "partial 16S ribosomal RNA". It matches the Rfam family "Bacterial small subunit ribosomal RNA", at positions 524 to 776 of the family's 1533-position model. The record is from RNAcentral.